GAUGAACGCUGACAGAAUGCUUAACACAUGCAAGUCAACUUGAACUUCGGUUUGGGUGGCGGACGGGUGAGUAACGCGUAAAGAACUUGCCUCACAGAUAGGGACAACAUUUGGAAACGAAUGCUAAUACCUGAUAUUAUGAUUAUAUGGCAUCGUAUAAUUAUGAAAGCUAUAUGCGCUGUGAGAGAGCUUUGCGUCCCAUUAGCUAGUUGGAGGGGUAACGGCUCACCAAGGCGAUGAUGGGUAGCCGGCCUGAGAGGGUGAUCGGCCACAAGGGGACUGAGACACGGCCCUUACACCUACGGGAGGCAGCAGUGGGGAAUAUUGGACAAUGGACCAAGAGUAUGAUCCAGCAAUUCUGUGUGCACGAUGAAGUUUUUCGGAAUGUAAAGUGCUUUCAGUUGGGAAGAAAAAAAUGACGGUACCAACAGAAGAAGUGACGGCUAAAUACGUG
Molecule: ribosomal RNA, 454 nt
Filed under: uncultured bacterium
Lineage: Bacteria
Description: partial 16S ribosomal RNA
Rfam family: Bacterial small subunit ribosomal RNA
Source: RNAcentral